This 256-nucleotide non-coding RNA is filed under the name Triticum urartu. RNAcentral's name for it is "Bacterial small subunit ribosomal RNA". It matches the Rfam family "Bacterial small subunit ribosomal RNA", at positions 967 to 1156 of the family's 1533-position model. The record is from Rfam by way of RNAcentral. Lineage: Eukaryota; Viridiplantae; Streptophyta; Magnoliopsida; Poales; Poaceae.
UUUCAUUCUUUAAGCGAAAUGGGAAAACCUUACCAGCCCUUGACAUAUGAAAAACAAAACAUGUCCUUAAUAGGAUGGUACUGACUUUCAUACAGGUGAUGCAUGUCUUUCGUCAGCUCGUGUCGUGAGAUGUUUGGUCAAGUCCUAUAACGAGCGAAACCCUCGUUUGGAUCGCUCCUAUUAUUACUAACCAGGGCGAAAAUAGAUAAUGAGCAUGAGCUAACAGGGUAAACCACCGCCUCUCAGGCCUCCUCGA